GUGGGGAAUAUUGGACAAUGGGCGAAAGCCUGAUCCAGCCAUGCCGCGUGUGUGAAGAAGGUCUUCGGAUUGUAAAGCACUUUAAGUUGGGAGGAAGGGCAGUAAGUUAAUACCUUGCUGUUUUGACGUUACCGACAGAAUAAGCACCGGCUAACUUCGUGCCAGCAGCCGCGGUAAUACGAAGGGUGCAAGCGUUAAUCGGAAUUACUGGGCGUAAAGCGCGCGUAGGUGGUUUUGUAAGUUGGAGGUGAAAUCCCCGGGCUCAACCUGGGAACUGCCUCCAAAACUGCAUGACUAGAGUACGGUAGAGGGUAGGGGAAUUUCCUGUGUAGCGGUGAAAUGCGUAGAUAUAGGAAGGAACACCAGUGGCGAAGGCGACUACCUGGACUGAUACUGACACUGAGGUGCGAAAGCGUGGGGAGCAAACAGGAUUAGAAACCCGAGUAGUCC
This 450-nucleotide ribosomal RNA is filed under the name uncultured bacterium. Its description in RNAcentral is "partial 16S ribosomal RNA". It matches the Rfam family "Bacterial small subunit ribosomal RNA", at positions 354 to 796 of the family's 1533-position model. The record is from RNAcentral.